RNAcentral lists this ribosomal RNA (497 nucleotides) under uncultured bacterium. RNAcentral describes it as "partial 16S ribosomal RNA". It matches the Rfam family "Bacterial small subunit ribosomal RNA", at positions 28 to 507 of the family's 1533-position model. The record is from RNAcentral.
GAUGAACGCUGGCGGCGUGCCUAAUACAUGCAAGUCGAGCGAACGGACGAGAAGCUUGCUUCUCUGAUGUUAGCGGCGGACGGGUGAGUAACACGUGGAUAACCUACCUAUAAGACUGGGAUAACUUCGGGAAACCGGAGCUAAUACCGGAUAAUAUUUUGAACCGCAUGGUUCAAAAGUAAAAGACGGUCUUGCUGUCACUUAUAGAUGGAUCCGCGCUGCAUUAGCUAGUUGGUAAGGUAACGGCUUACCAAGGCAACGAUGCAUAGCCGACCUGAGAGAGUGAUCGGCCACACUGGAACUGAGACACGGUCCAGACUCCUACGGGAGGCAGCAGUAGGGAAUCUUCCGCAAUGGGCGAAAGCCUGACGGAGCAACGCCGCGUGAGUGAUGAAGGUCUUCGGAUCGUAAAACUCUGUUAUUAGGGAAGAACAUAUGUGUAAGUAACUGUGCAUAUCUUGACGGUACCUAAUCAGAAAGCCACGGCUAACUACGUG